CGGGGUGAGUAACGCGUGGAUAACCUGCCUCACACAGGGGGAUAACAGUUAGAAAUGACUGCUAAUACCGCAUAAGCGCACGGUACCGCAUGGUACAGUGUGAAAAACUCCGGUGGUGUGAGAUGGAUCCGCGUCUGAUUAGGUAGUUGGUGAGGUAACGGCCCACCAAGCCGACGAUCAGUAGCCGACCUGAGAGGGUGACCGGCCACAUUGGGACUGAGACACGGCCCAA
This 232-nucleotide ribosomal RNA is filed under the name uncultured bacterium. Its description in RNAcentral is "partial 16S ribosomal RNA". It matches the Rfam family "Bacterial small subunit ribosomal RNA", at positions 104 to 334 of the family's 1533-position model. The record is from RNAcentral.